This 23-nucleotide non-coding RNA is filed under the name Arabidopsis thaliana (thale cress). Lineage: Eukaryota; Viridiplantae; Streptophyta; Magnoliopsida; Brassicales; Brassicaceae. The record is from RNAcentral.
UCUGUAAUCGAUUCCCUAUGGAA